CCCUUAGAUGUUCUGGGCCGCACGCGCGCUACACUGACGAAUGCAACGAGCUUAUAACCUUGGCCGAAAGGUCUGGGUAAUCUCCAAAUUUCGUCGUGAUGGGGAUAGAUUAUUGCAAUUAUUAAUCUUCGACGAGGAAUGCCUAGUAAGCGCAAGUCAUCAGCUUGCGUUGAUUACGUCCCUGCCCUUUGUACACACCGCCCGUCGCUCCUACCGAUUGAAUGGUCCGGUGAAGCGCUCGGACCGCGGCCUCUUGACGGUUCGCUGUCGAUUGGCUGUGGGAAGUUCGUUAAACCUUAUCAUUUAGAGGAAGGAGAAGUCGUAACA
This 327-nucleotide ribosomal RNA is filed under the name uncultured eukaryote. RNAcentral's name for it is "partial 18S ribosomal RNA". It matches the Rfam family "Eukaryotic small subunit ribosomal RNA", at positions 1470 to 1796 of the family's 1831-position model. The record is from RNAcentral.